UUUUCCUUGACGGUCGUGGUUCAGU
RNAcentral lists this non-coding RNA (25 nucleotides) under Cricetulus griseus (Chinese hamster). Lineage: Eukaryota; Metazoa; Chordata; Mammalia; Rodentia; Cricetidae. The record is from RNAcentral.